AGGAUGAACGCUGGCGGAGUGCCUAAUACAUGCAAGUCGAGCGGCAACGCGAGUAGUUUACUACUUGGCGGCGAGCGGCGGACGGCUGAGUAACGCGUGGGAACGUGCCCCAAAGUGAGGAAUAACUGCCCGAAAGGGUAGCUAAUGCCGCAUAUGAUCUUCGGAUUAAAGGAUUUAUCCGCUUUGGGAGCGGCCCGCGUCAGAUUAGGUAGUUGGUGAGGUAAAGGCUCACCAAGCCGACGAUCUGUAGCUGAUCUGAGAGGAUGAUCAGCCAGACUGGGACUGAGACACGGCCCAGACUCCUACGGGAGCAGCAGUAAGGAAUCUUCCACAAUGGACGAAAGUCUGAUGGAGCAACUCCGCGUGCA
Molecule: ribosomal RNA, 368 nt
Filed under: uncultured soil bacterium
Lineage: Bacteria
Description: bacterial SSU rRNA
Rfam family: Bacterial small subunit ribosomal RNA
Source: RNAcentral